CCUACGGGCGGCAGCAGUGAGGAAUAUUGGUCAAUGGACGAGAGUCUGAACCAGCCAAGUAGCGUGAAGGAUGACUGCCCUAUGGGUUGUAAACUUCUUUUAUAUGGGAAUAAAAUGUUCCACGUGUGGGAUUUUGUAUGUACCAUAUGAAUAAGGAUCGGCUAACUCCGUGCCAGCAGCCGCGGUAAUACGGAGGAUCCGAGCGUUAUCCGGAUUUAUUGGGUUUAAAGGGAGCGUAGGUGGAUUGUUAAGUCAGUUGUGAAAGUGUGCGGCUCAACCGUAAAAUUGCAGUUGAAACUGGCAGUCUUGAGUACAGGAGAGGUGGGCGGAAUUCGUGGUGUAGCGGUGAAAUGCUUAGAUAUCACGAAGAACUCCGAUUGCGAAGGCAGUUCACUGGACUGCAACUGACACUGAGGCUCGAAAGUGUGGGUAUCAAACAGGAUUAGAUACCCCAGUAGUC
This 460-nucleotide ribosomal RNA is filed under the name uncultured bacterium. RNAcentral's name for it is "partial 16S ribosomal RNA". It matches the Rfam family "Bacterial small subunit ribosomal RNA", at positions 338 to 795 of the family's 1533-position model. The record is from RNAcentral.